UUGUUUUUCCAGUGAAUUUUCUUCUUGAAAAACUGGUGAACCACUGUGGGAGCACAAAAUCUAACAGGUGUCUCAGAAUUUCAUUUCCCGGGCUUCUCAGAGGACCCAGCCCUGCAGCCCAUCCUCAUCGGACUGUUCCUCUCCGUGUACCUGGUCACAGUGCUCGGGAACCUGCUCAUCAUCCUGGCGGCAUUGGAACGUAUUUUGGUUCAAUUGCAUCAUAUUCUCCCAGGAAGGGCAUGGUGGCCUCACUGAUGUACACUGUGGUCACCCCGAUGCUGAAUCCCUUCAUCUACAGCCUGAGGAACAGGGACAUCAGCAGCAGUGUGAAGAGGCUCCACCAUUGCAAAAUCUAAUCCCAGGGCCUUUUCCAUUCAUUUAG
Molecule: long non-coding RNA, 382 nt
Filed under: Fukomys damarensis (Damara mole-rat)
Lineage: Eukaryota; Metazoa; Chordata; Mammalia; Rodentia; Bathyergidae
Description: lncRNA (ENSFDAG00000025353.1)
Source: RNAcentral